GACGAACGCUGGCGGCGUGCUUAACACAUGCAAGUCGAGCGGUAAGGCCCUUUCGGGGGUACACGAGCGGCGAACGGGUGAGUAACACGUGGGUGACCUGCCCUCAGCUCUGGGGAUAAGCCUGGGAAACCGGGUCUAAUACCGGAUAUGACUCCAUGACGCAUGUUGUGGGGUGAAAGCCUUGUGCGGCUGAGGAUGGGCCCGCGGCCUAUCAGCUUGGUUGGUGGGGUGANGGCCUACCAAGGCGACGACGGGUAGCCGGCCUGAGAGGGCGACCGGCCACACUGGGACUGAGACACGGCCCAGACUCCUACGGGAGGCAGCAGUGGGGAAUCUUGCGC
This 341-nucleotide ribosomal RNA is filed under the name uncultured bacterium. Its description in RNAcentral is "bacterial SSU rRNA". It matches the Rfam family "Bacterial small subunit ribosomal RNA", at positions 28 to 369 of the family's 1533-position model. The record is from RNAcentral.